GACGAACGCUGGCGGCGUGCUUAACACAUGCAAGUCGAACGGAAAGGCCCUGCUUUUGUGGGGUGCUCGAGUGGCGAACGGGUGAGUAACACGUGAGUAACCUGCCCUUGACUUUGGGAUAACUUCAGGAAACUGGGGCUAAUACCGGAUAGGAGCUCCUGCUGCAUGGUGGGGGUUGGAAAGCUUCGGCGGUUGGGGAUGGACUCGCGGCUUAUCAGCUUGUUGGUGGGGUAGUGGCUUACCAAGGCUUUGACGGGUAGCCGGCCUGAGAGGGUGACCGGCCACAUUGGGACUGAGAGACGGCCCAGACUCCUACGGGAGGCAGCAGUGGGGAAUAUUGCACAAUGGGCGGAAGCCUGAUGCAGCAACGCCGCGUGCGGGAUGACGGCCUUCGGGGUGUAAACCGCUUUCGCCUGUGACGAAGCGUGAGUGACGGUAAUGGGUAAAGAAGCACCGGCUAACUACGUG
Molecule: ribosomal RNA, 468 nt
Filed under: uncultured bacterium
Lineage: Bacteria
Description: partial 16S ribosomal RNA
Rfam family: Bacterial small subunit ribosomal RNA
Source: RNAcentral